Camelina sativa (false flax) is the source of this 4003-nucleotide non-coding RNA. Lineage: Eukaryota; Viridiplantae; Streptophyta; Magnoliopsida; Brassicales; Brassicaceae. The record is from RefSeq and is a predicted model, not a curated record.
UUAUAUUGCAGGGAAAGUGGAUUUAGAUCUAACACGCUCUUGGAUUGGUGAUUGGUGAAGAUAUCCUAACUGCUAUGGCUACAGAGCUCUCUGGUCUUGUGUGUGUCUUUACUUCUCACUUUCUCAGACUUUGAAUUUUGUAAUUUGGUCUUGUCUUUGUCUAACAGCGGGAGGGAGAUGUUUCAAUCCAAAGCACGAACGGGCCAAUUUCUAAAGAGGAAUUAGCAAUGACGACAACGACGACGAGCCCCUUCUUCUUCUUCUUGUUUGGUUUUUUUAAAGAAGAUUGCGAAGCCAUCAUCGAGACGUGUAUGUAUGUAUGAAGCCGCCAGAACUAAGGAGGAGAGAUUGUGUGUCUGCUACCAUGUUCUUGCUAAUUCCUCACCCACCAAUUCAACUCCUCUCUCUCUGUCCUCCUCCUCCUCCUCCAUGCGACGAAGUAGAUUCAGAACACGGUCGCUACGCUAGGGUUUGAAGAGUUGACGAAGAAGAUUCAGAAACAACACUACUUCCCCCUUAACAAUUGAACCAUCCCAUACCUUUUGCUACCCUAGAUGCCGACGAGCUAGCUCUCUGGUGCUCAUCCUGCUCCUCCUGAAGUACGACAGAGCUCUCUUGUUUGGUUUAAAGUGCAGCCGGGAAAGUGGAUUUGGUUGGAUCUUCCAAUCAUAACACGCUUUUGGAUCUCUGAUUGGAGAGAACCCCUUCAAUGUUAAAGUUGCUCAAGUGGAUGAAACAUGGAACUCUCAGCCAUUUAUAUUGGUGGAAAGCUUCUUCUCCCACGGCCCCCAUGCAUUUGGUCUCCAUAACCCUUUCAAAUCUCCACUGGUUUGUUCUAUAUAGAACGAAGGUCAUGUUUUUUUGUACAGAUACCUCUUGUAAGGAGAUGGAGAUAUAUCUCGACAAAGGCAGCUCAUAUGCUCACCGUACCUAAGGUAACAAUGGUUAGACCAUUUAAUUUCCCGCUGGAGAUGCCACUACUUCAACCAAUGGGGGCCAUUAUAAUGGGAAAAAUGACAUUUAAAUCAUGAACUUUCAAAUUGUGGUCAUUUAAACCAUGGACUUUGUUGUAGGCCAUUUAAAACAUCAACUUUUGUUGACUAGUUCUUUUAAACAUUAAGUUUUGUUGACCAAGCCAAAAAAUACAUAUCGUUAAAUCCGAUAACCAGGUAACUAACAGAUGUUCGUUAACACUCUCCGUUAGUGACAAAACGACAUCGUUUUGAUGAAAAUUUUAGUUCGAGAAAAAUGUUAUUUAAACCAUGAUUUUUUAAAUUGAGGCCUUAUAAACCAUGAAUUUUCAAAUAUAGGCCAUUUAAACUAUGAACUUUGUUGUAGGCCAUUUAAAACAUCAACAUUCAUUGACAAGAUUUUUUAGACAUCAAGUCAAACUAUUAAGUUUGCUAACAUGUCUUACUUCAGUCGAUCACAAGGGCGAAUACAAGGAUCAAGAUCACGAGCACAAAAACAUCAUAAGGGUCACAAACAAAAGCACAACAAAGAUGAGGUAAUCAUUGUAAUGGAGCUUUGGAUUUGGGUGAAAUGGAAGACUGUUGACUGGUGAAGAGCCGAGAUGUUUGUUCAGUUGACUGGUGGACUUGAGGCUGCUGUUUGCAGAGAGCAAACUAAAAAAGGCCAAGGCGAUUAGAGACACGAAGGUGAUUGAUCAUGUUUGUUCGUGUGUGUGUUCAGCAGGCCUACAAAGGCUCAAUAACAAUAACUUCAGCCCAUCAAACAAGACAUGCCCAGUCUCAGGGCAAUUAAAAUUUCUCAGGUCCGUGAAGGCGUAAAUAGAGAGAGAAAGAGAGCACUGUGCAUUCAUCUUUGCACGCAGCUGUGUAACGGUACCAGCAGCAAUUCAUCUUCUCUACUCCACGGUUUUGUCUUCCCAAUUUGUGGUUUUAUGUGUUAGUUUUGGUGGCUUCCGUGCACUUUGCUACGCCGUAAGGACUCAAAAAAGUGCUCAUAACUUGUACACAUGAUUGUUGCCAAGGUGCAUUUUGGCCAUUGACGAUACACAAGGAGCCAAGUGAAUAAGAUCCCAAAUGUUUGUUCACUUGACUGGAGGAAGGAUGCUGCUUGCAGAGAGCCAAACUCAAUGGCCAAGAUUGUACUCUUGAUGAGCUAGUGAGAUUGCUGGGCGGAGGAGAAGUAUUUGGUACUCUCUGAUCUAAAGAGGAAGCAAAAGACAACGAGUCCCUUGAAAAGACCUCUUCGGAUACAAUUACAUUUGCGAGGCCAGAGAUAUGGGGCUGAUUGAAAUCGAAGACUGUUGGCUAUGGAAGGUACAUUACACAAGGAGCCAAGUGAAGAGCUCAGAUAUGUUAGAAGGUUUCUUCAGUUCUAUUAGUGACCAAUCCGUUGGGAUGGGGAGUCAUUCGUGGAGUCAGACCAGAUCAGCAGUUGGUCAAGAUUGUACUUGAUGAGCUACUGAAAUUGGUGGGUGGAUGAGAAAGUAUCUGAGCUACAUUUUCUUGUACUCAGAGCUGCAUUCACCGGGCUACCAGCAUUUCAGGUCCUCUCUCUCCAUGACGAGAGAUAUGGAGGUAGUUGAAAUCGAUGACUGUUGGCCAUGGAAGAUACAUUACAGAAGGAGCCAAGUGAAAAGCCAAGAUGUUUGUUCUGUUGACUGGUGGACUCGAGGAUGCUGCUUGCAGACCAAACUCAAAGGCCAAGUCUGGUAGUAACCAAGCCGUUGGGAUGGGAGUCAUUCGUCGAGUCAGACCAGAUCAGCAAUUGACCAAGAUUGAGCUAGUCAAAUUGAUGGGUGGAGGAGAAGUAUCUGAGCUACACUUCCAUAUACUCGGAGCUGCAUUCACCGGGUGACCAGCAAUUCAGCUUCUCUCUCUCUCCUACACUGUUUGGCUUCCAAUUCAGCUCCUCAGACAUGGCAUAAGUUUGAUGACGCCAAGAUGAUUGGUGGGCUGAAAGUGCUCAUGACAAUAAGGGAAGUCUGGUGCCGAAGAAGUCAACUUUCCCUUCUGGUAUAAAAAGCACCUACGGAUUAUGUUCACAGCAAGGGCCUUAAGCUCGGGAUUUACUCAGAUGUCGGGUAUUUUACCUGCAGCAAAAGCAUGCCAGGUUCUUUAGGCCAUGAGGAGCAUGAUGCCAAUACCUUUGCAGAAUGGGUGCGUUAGAUGUCAUUCUUGUAUUCCCACAUUCUUGUUAGACAACGAGUCCCUUGAAAAGACCUCUUCGGAUACAAUUACAUUUGCGAGGCGAGAGAUAUGGAGCUGGUUGAAAUCGAAGAUAUGGAGUUUGGUAGGUGGCCAUGAAAGUUGCAUUACGGAAGGAGCCAAGUUAAGAGCCAAGAUGUUUGUUCGGUUGAGGAGGCCGCUUGCCCUUGAGCUCAAAGGCCAAGGUUUUUUGGAAGCCAAUUUAUGAUCCGAUCAUCAUCGCUCGCUCCCUCCUCCUACGGAAGAAUUGAAGGAAUGGGAUAAGUACUGUCUCUAUGAUGCUUUGUGAUGCUACUUACUAAGGUUGACGCUAGAGAUGGAAUUGUCUAUGUAUGAUGUAUACGACUCUACAAGGUUUUGGAUGCUUUUAUCAACCAGUGAUGGCUUUGACUGAUCUUCCUCAAGCGUUCUCAUGGGUUCCUUUGCUCUAAACUUAUCUCUUUUAUUUGUCUCUGAAUAUUCACUUUGGUUCUAUGGUCUUCUUUUUCUUCUCAUUACAUGUUAAUAUAUACUUGUCGUUUUUAUCAUUUCAGGUUUUGGAUGAUGCUUUUAUCAUUCAGUGAUGGCUUUGACUGAUGGGACUAGAUCAGCAGUUGGCGAAGAUUGUACAUGAUGAGCUAGUCAAAUUGAUGGGCGGAGGAGAAGUGUCUGAGCUACACUUCCUUGUACUCACCGGACUACCAGCAUUUCUGCGCCUCUCUCUCCUCCACGUAACAUCAUCAAACUGAUUUUGAAGAUCGGUGAUAUGCUAGGGUUUGAAGAUUUGACGAAGAAGAUUCAGAACCGAAACAAAAGAUGAACUUCACCUUACAGUAACAACAUCAAAC